AGCGAACGCUGGCGGCAGGCUUAACACAUGCAAGUCGAGCGGACCCUUCGGGGUCAGCGGCGGACGGGUGAGUAACGCGUGGGAACGUGCCUUCCGGUUCGGAAUAACCCUGGGAAACUAGGGCUAAUACCGGAUACGCCCUUAUGGGGAAAGGUUUACUGCCGGAAGAUCGGCCCGCGUCUGAUUAGCUAGUUGGUGGGGUAACGGCCUACCAAGGCGACGAUCAGUAGCUGGUCUGAGAGGAUGAUCAGCCACACUGGGACUGAGACACGGCCCAGACUCCUACGGGAGGCAGCAGUGGGGAAUAUUGGACAAUGGGCGCAAGCCUGAUCCAGCCAUGCCGCGUGAGUGAUGAAGGCCUUAGGGUUGUAAAGCUCUUUUAUCCGGGACGAUAAUGACGGUACCGGAGGAAUAAGCCCCGGCUAACUUCGUG
RNAcentral lists this ribosomal RNA (433 nucleotides) under uncultured bacterium. Its description in RNAcentral is "partial 16S ribosomal RNA". It matches the Rfam family "Bacterial small subunit ribosomal RNA", at positions 29 to 507 of the family's 1533-position model. The record is from RNAcentral.